Molecule: ribosomal RNA, 484 nt
Filed under: uncultured bacterium
Lineage: Bacteria
Description: bacterial SSU rRNA
Rfam family: Bacterial small subunit ribosomal RNA
Source: RNAcentral
GACGAACGCUGGCGGCGUGCUUAACACAUGCAAGUCACGGGGGCCCGCAAGGGUAACCGGCGAACGGGUGCGUAACACGUGAACAAUCUGCCUAGAUGUGGGGGAUAGCCGGCCCAACGGCCGGGUAAUACCGCAUACGCUCACCGAGUGGCAUCGCUUGGUGAGGAAACCUCCGGGGCAUCUAGAGGAGUUCGCGGCCUAUCAGCUAGUUGGUGGGGUAACGGCCUACCAAGGCGAUGACGGGUAGCUGGUCUGAGAGGAUGGCCAGCCACAUUGGGACUGAGAUACGGCCCAGACUCCUACGGGAGGCAGCAGUGGGGAAUAUUGCGCAAUGGCCGAAAGGCUGACGCAGCGACGCCGCGUGGGGGAUGAAGCAUUUCGGUGUGUAAACCCCUGUUGCCCGGGACGAACAACUGGAUUCUUCCAGUCUGACGGUACCGGGUGAGGAAGCACCGGCUAACUCCGUGCCAGCAGCCGCGGUAAU